Molecule: long non-coding RNA, 701 nt
Organism: Vicia villosa (hairy vetch)
Lineage: Eukaryota; Viridiplantae; Streptophyta; Magnoliopsida; Fabales; Fabaceae
Exons: 3
Source: RefSeq, a predicted model, not a curated record
GGUGGCUGGAACCUAAGUCUUUGAUUCUUUUUAGUCUUCAAUGGAAUCCCCUACCGGUAAAGGUUGAUCAAAAGAUAGAAAUGUCACAAAAUCGUUAUUGCAAUAUUGGCAACAAUGAUUAUGGUAUAUAAUAGCAGCUUUUGGAAACUAAAGGUAAUGGAAGCUUAAAAAGAAGAGCUAGUUAUGGAGAAAAGUGGUAAAGUGGAUGAGAAGAAUAUUUAAGGUGUCAAAUUUACAUUCCUUUGAAAUCAAUAGUAUUUCUCCCUCUUUAUCAAAUGAUGUUUUCUAGUUGCAGAAUGGAUAUGUUUCUGUAUGAGUCAAGCAAAGCACAUUCGUUUCUAGAUUCAUUAGAAGUGUUGUUCAGUUUUUAUUCUUAAAUGGUUUGAAUCAAUGGCUAAUUAUUAAUGUAAUUCUUUUCUACAUUCUCAUUAGCUCUGUAAUAGAAUAGGCAUAGUCCCUCUUUAGAUAAGUGCUUUGUCUGGGUUGUUAUUAUUUUUUCCUAAUAAUAUAUUGAAUUUUAAUUUGUAUUAUUUCAUUUAGGAAUACAUGUACGUUAUUAUUAUAAUUUUGUUUUUAACAAAGAUUAUUAUGUAUUUUAACGAUGGGUAAAAAUAAUAAUUAUAAAAAAGAUAUUGGUUGACUUAUGGCAUGUUUCCUUAUAAAAUCAUGUCAAAGUCAGUUGAAAUAAUAACAAUAAAAAA